Molecule: long non-coding RNA, 369 nt
Filed under: Nicotiana tabacum (common tobacco)
Lineage: Eukaryota; Viridiplantae; Streptophyta; Magnoliopsida; Solanales; Solanaceae
Description: long non-coding RNA (NTAB_LNC006379)
Source: RNAcentral
UCAGGCGGGCUCCUGAUUGCUGAAUUUGAAAUUGAAUGUAUUCCUCUAUUAUCCAGGCGGGCUCCUGACUUCACAAAAAUAGACAAAACAAAGAAAACUUUCUGCCCCAGUUUGGAAAACUGGUUGUUUGUUACCACAUACUAAUAAGAACUAAAACUUGAAUUGUGAUAAGACUGAAAUGCAACUUUUAAAAAGUCAAAGACUGCAAUGUAUCUUAAAAUUUAAACUUUAUCUUAGGUGAAAAAUUCAUCAGACUAAGAUUUCCAUCUUAGGAGAAAGAUUCAACAGACUAAGAUUUUUACCUCUAUCUUAGGUGAAAAAUUCAUCAGACUAAGAUUUUCAUCUUAGGAGAAAGAUUCAACAGACUAA